Long non-coding RNA from Hibiscus syriacus, 512 nucleotides. RefSeq lists it as uncharacterized. The record is from RefSeq and is a predicted model, not a curated record. NCBI's taxonomy places the organism in Eukaryota, Viridiplantae, Streptophyta, Magnoliopsida, Malvales, Malvaceae. The transcript is spliced from 3 exons.
AAUGUAGAAUAAAGAUGCCGGAUAUGUCGAAAAGCAACUGUUGAAUAUAGCGGAUGCGAUCGAUUUACUCCCGCGUCUUGCUAGCAGGAUUGAUGUGAAUAUCAAAUUCAGGAGAACAGAUGAUUUCGAGUUCACUUCCGAGUGUGCCAUAUUCGAUCUGCUUGACAUUCCUCUCUAUCAUGGUUGGAUAGUUGAUCCCCAGGACUAUGAAACUGCUUGUGCCAUCGGGUCGAAAUCCUAUAAUGCGAUCAUGGAAAAGCUUGUUGCUUUGGAAGCACGGAAUAUGGAGGCUUCACAUAAAAAUAAGCCCGGAGAUUGUGUGGAUUUUGCUGCUGCAACAACUGCCACUCUGGGAGUUCCCUCUCCUGGCCUCUUGAAAUCCAAAUCUUUUGACGAUUCUCCUCGUUCUGUUUCUGAUCGGAAAUUAAGAAAAGGGGAUCUCGAUGAGGAAGCAGAGUUAUUGAGAGUCGUGAAAUUAUCGGAGGCUGACUCACAAACCUUAGUUGGUGUUG